Molecule: ribosomal RNA, 468 nt
Filed under: uncultured bacterium
Lineage: Bacteria
Description: partial 16S ribosomal RNA
Rfam family: Bacterial small subunit ribosomal RNA
Source: RNAcentral
GGCGAACGCUGGCGGCGUGCUUAACACAUGCAAGUCGAACGGAAGGGCCCUGCUUUUGUGGGGUGCUCGAGUGGCGAACGGGUGAGUAACACGUGAGUAACCUGCCCUUGACUUUGGGAUAACUUCAGGAAACUGGGGCUAAUACCGGAUAGGAGCUCCUGCUGCAUGGUGGGGGUUGGAAAGUUUCGGCGGUUGGGGAUGGACUCGCGGCUUAUCAGCUUGUUGGUGGGGUAGUGGCUUACCAAGGCUUUGACGGGUAGCCGGCCUGUGAGGGUGACCGGCCACAUUGGGACUGAGAUACGGCCCAGACUCCUACGGGAGGCAGCAGUGGGGAAUAUUGCACAAUGGGCGGAAGCCUGAUGCAGCAACGCCGCGUGCGGGAUGACGGCCUUCGGGUUGUAAACCGCUUUCGCCUGUGACGAAGCGUGAGUGACGGUAAUGGGUAAAGAAGCACCGGCUAACUACGUG